This 519-nucleotide ribosomal RNA is filed under the name uncultured bacterium. RNAcentral's name for it is "partial 16S ribosomal RNA". It matches the Rfam family "Bacterial small subunit ribosomal RNA", at positions 28 to 507 of the family's 1533-position model. The record is from RNAcentral.
GACGAACGCUGGCGGCGUGCCUAAUACAUGCAAGUCGAGCGAGUCUGCCUUGAAGAUCGGAGUGCUUGCACUCUGUGAAACAAGAUACAGGCUAGCGGCGGACGGGUGGGUAACACGUGGGUAACCUGCCCAAGAGAUCGGGAUAACACCUGGAAACAGAUGCUAAUACCGGAUAACAACAGAUGAUGCCUAUCAACUGUUUAAAAGAUGGUUCUGCUAUCACUCUUGGAUGGACCUGCGGUGCAUUAGCUAGUUGGUAGGGUAACGGCCUACCAAGGCGAUGAUGCAUAGCCGAGUUGAGAGACUGAUCGGCCACAUUGGGACUGAGACACGGCCCAAACUCCUACGGGAGGCAGCAGUAGGGAAUCUUCCACAAUGGACGCAAGUCUGAUGGAGCAACGCCGCGUGAGUGAAGAAGGGUUUCGGCUCGUAAAGCUCUGUUGUUGGUGAAGAAGGACAGGGGUAGUAACUGACCUUUGUUUGACGGUAAUCAAUUAGAAAGUCACGGCUAACUACGUG